GUGGGGAAUUUUAGACAAUGGGCGCAAGCCUGAUCCAGCAAUGCCGCGUGCAGGAAGAAGGCCUUCGGGUUGUAAACUGCUUUUGUACGGAACGAAACGGUCCUGGCUAAUACCCGGGGCUAAUGACGGUACCGUAAGAAUAAGCACCGGCUAACUACGUGCCAGCAGCCGCGGUAAUACGUAGGGUGCGAGCGUUAAUCGGAAUUAUUGGGCGUAAAGCGUGCGCAGGCGGUGCUGUAAGACAGGCGUGAAAUCCCCGGGCUCAAACUGGGAAUUGCGCUUGUGACUGCAGUGCUGGAGUGCGGCAGAGGGGGAUGGAAUUCCGCGUGUAGCAGUGAAAUGCGUAGAUAUGCGGAGGAACACCGAUGGCGAAGGCAAUCCCCUGGGCCUGCACUGACGCUCAUGCACGAAAGCGUGGGGAGCAAACAGGAUUAGAUACCCUGGUAGUCC
RNAcentral lists this ribosomal RNA (450 nucleotides) under uncultured bacterium. RNAcentral describes it as "partial 16S ribosomal RNA". It matches the Rfam family "Bacterial small subunit ribosomal RNA", at positions 354 to 796 of the family's 1533-position model. The record is from RNAcentral.